RNAcentral lists this ribosomal RNA (464 nucleotides) under uncultured bacterium. Its description in RNAcentral is "partial 16S ribosomal RNA". It matches the Rfam family "Bacterial small subunit ribosomal RNA", at positions 339 to 795 of the family's 1533-position model. The record is from RNAcentral.
CUACGGGCGGCACCAGUGGGGAAUAUUGCACAAUGGGCGCAAGCCUGAUGCAGCCAUGCCGCGUGUAUGAAGAAGGCCUUCGGGUUGUAAAGUACUUUCAGCGGGGAGGAAGGGAGUAAAGUUAAUACCUUUGCUCAUUGACGUUACCCGCAGAAGAAGCACCGGCUAACUCCGUGCCGAGCAGCCGCGGUAAUACGGAGGGUGCAAGCGUUAACGGAAUUACUGGGCGUAAAGCGCACGCAGGCGGUUUGUUAAGUCAGAUGUGAAAUCCCCGGGCUCAACCGGGGAACUGCAUCUGAUACUGGCAAGCUUGAGUCUCGUAGAGGGGGGUAGAAUGCCAGGUGUAGCGGUGAAAUGCGUAGAGAUCUGGAGGAAUACCGGUGGCGAAGGCGGCCCCCUGGACGAAGACUGACGCUCAGGUGCGAAAGCGUGGGGAGCAAACAGGAUUAGAUACCCCGGUAGUC